This 460-nucleotide long non-coding RNA is filed under the name Homo sapiens (human). RNAcentral's name for it is "HSALNT0391138". The record is from RNAcentral. Lineage: Eukaryota; Metazoa; Chordata; Mammalia; Primates; Hominidae.
CCGGCCCCCGCCGGGACCCCGCCGAGCGGCAGAAUGACUUGGGAUAUAAAUAAACUAAAUAUAUCCUGUUUGAAUAAUAAGUGGAAGACAGCUUGAUGAAUUGGACAAGCACUUGGCUCCAUACCUAGGAUACAGCAGUUCCUCCAUCAAUAUACAAAAGAAUAAGAUUCAGAGAGAAAUGCAGAGGCCAGAGAUGGGGAACCACACAGCCCCAGGAGCCUCCGUUUCUGCCUGCUGGGUUCCAGCCCUGAAGAAGCUCAGCUGUCCACUGUCCAUGGAGGCACAGACACGUCAUUUAAAUUCCUUUACUUAAGGUGGCAUGAGGUCCUUUUUCUUUCUGGAGAGCUGGAAAUUUGCUUUUUCCCUCUUCAAAAGAAAGGCUGCAGCGAGCCUCAUGGGCUGGGUGUGGUGGCUUAUGCCUGUAAUCCCAGCACUUUGUGGGGCUAAAGCAGGAGGAUCA